AGUACAGGAGGAAGAGUGGUUAGUCCUUAUCGUAGUUGCCUAACGCCUAAAAUAGUGGAAGUGCUUGUUUGCACACAAGAUUGGUUAAAAGGAACACCUUUCUCUAUACUUUUUGAUGAGGAUCCUAAAGAACUUGAUAAAUUUGAGCAAGAGAUAACCUCUCAAGAUGAAGUGGGACCUUCAAGUGUUGCUAUUAAUUUGGAUGAUUGAAGUUUUGUCACAAUUUGUUAGUUAUCUAAAGUACAUGAUGAUUCAUACAUUGAAAGCUACAUAAGCA
This is a long non-coding RNA of Vigna angularis (adzuki bean), 277 nucleotides long. RefSeq lists it as uncharacterized. Lineage: Eukaryota; Viridiplantae; Streptophyta; Magnoliopsida; Fabales; Fabaceae. The record is from RefSeq and is a predicted model, not a curated record. The transcript has 3 exons.